AAGUCGUAACAAGGUUUCCGUAGGUGAACCUGCGGAAGGAUCAUUACAAUUCAGUAGCUUGCUACUGGUCGGGAGGUGCUGUAAGUCCGCAUAGUUUAAUUACUGAUGAGCGGCGAGCCCUCUGUCUGUACCCUUGUCUUUUGCGCACUCAUGUUUCCUCGGCGGGCUUGCCCGCCGACUGGACAAACUUAUAACCUUUUUAAUUUUCAAUCAGCGUCUGAAAAAACUUAAUAAUUACAACUUUCAACAACGGAUCUCUUGGUUCUG
This 267-nucleotide unclassified non-coding RNA is filed under the name Septoriella hirta. RNAcentral describes it as "partial internal transcribed spacer region". The stretch from base 1 to 46 matches the Rfam family "Eukaryotic small subunit ribosomal RNA", at positions 1786 to 1831 of the family's 1831-position model. Lineage: Eukaryota; Fungi; Ascomycota; Dothideomycetes; Pleosporales; Phaeosphaeriaceae. The record is from RNAcentral.